RNAcentral lists this ribosomal RNA (678 nucleotides) under Triticum aestivum (bread wheat). RNAcentral describes it as "partial small subunit ribosomal RNA". Lineage: Eukaryota; Viridiplantae; Streptophyta; Magnoliopsida; Poales; Poaceae. The record is from RNAcentral.
CGCAGAGGAGGGAAGGCGGAUCGAUCCAUGGGAUCCUGGUUCUCCUCCCCUAACGGUGCCGGCGCUGGCUCCGGCCGUCUUCGUUAUGUUCGUAGAGCCGCCGUCUCAAAACAGUUUGCAGCUCGCCUUCAACAACUCAAGGACAGCGGACGUCUUGUUGACCCGAACACCCAAGAAGGAGAGGACGCCUACUGCAUUCGUGAACUCGCCGACUCGGCCCUCCGACAUUACAACUCCAACCACGCGGGUCCUGAGUUCCGGCUUCCUGAUCGGCCCACCGCAGGCUGCAUUAGUUUCACGUCUCUUGAUCUGCCGACCACAGAUUUGAAGGCCGCCUGUGUUGGUUUUAGGGAAGACCUCUGGUACCAUAUCAACUUCUCGGCUCGCCAGACAGACGAUGAUGAGCACAUCUUCUUCGCCGAGCUACGCUACGGCCGGUGCUCUAACCAACAAACCGUCGAGACAUGCACCAUCCUAGAAGAGCCGUUGGACCGUUUGACAAGCAGCUGCGCAUUGUGUCCCAGUGAAUCCAAGAUUUUGCACCCAAAUGCCGUACAACUCGGAUGUGGAAAGGAGGGGCAGGAAAAGGAAUUUUUCCGCAAGAGGCGUGUAUGGAAUGGGUACACAAAAGAACUUUUCAGCAAGAGCAAUAUGCUACAGACCCCCUUCUUGAUAGGA